Molecule: long non-coding RNA, 2048 nt
Organism: Mauremys reevesii (Reeves's turtle)
Lineage: Eukaryota; Metazoa; Chordata; Testudines; Geoemydidae
Exons: 3
Source: RefSeq, a predicted model, not a curated record
AGCCAGCCCCUGCUGCACCCCCAUGCCCAAAGCCAGCCAACCUCACACGCCCAUCUCCAGCCAACUCCGCACCCCAUCUUCAACCAGCUCCGCAUCCCCUGCCCUGCCCGAAGCCAGCCAGCCCCACACCCUGUCAGCUCGGAGAAAAGGCAGGAAUAUUUGUUGAAGGAAGCCAUCCUGGAUCAGAUGAGAGCAGCUGAUCUGGAGCAGCACACAGCAUCACAAGGUGUCAGGAAUGCAGCACUUCGACUCUCCACUGAGAGGAAUGGGGGAACUGUGAGUUUAAAGGAAUCUAUGACCCGCAAUCCCAUGUGGCAGGUGUCAUGUCAGAGUUUGGAAAGACACAGUUUUAUGGACUUACAUAAAAUGAAAAAGCAUUUGCCUCAAGACUAAUGUCCUCCAAACGAAGACGGAAAUUCUACUGGUAAAGAACUUGUUAAAAAAAUACAAUAUAUUGUCAGGGAGCAUUCAGGGUAAUAGGCAUAGAUGCUCCCCUGCAUUUGGAAUGUGUUGCACCAUGCGUCUUGCCACAGGUGCCGACUUUCAGCUUUCCUCAGGGGUGCUCCACCACCACUCUGCCCAAAGGCCCUGUCCCCAUUCUGCCCCUUCCCUCAAAGCCCAACCCUCACUCUGCCUGUUCCUGCCCCCAUCCUUUCCCCUCCUCCAGAGGCCCCACCCCACCCUGCCUCUUCUUGCCCCCGCUCCUCUCACCCACCACUGAACAGUUGAUCAGCAGUGGGCAGGAGGCACUGGGGGGAUUGGGAGGGAGACGUGCUGAUCGGCGGGGCCUGCCGAACAGCUAUUUUUUUCCCUAUGGGUGUUCCAGCCCUGGAGCACCCACGGAGUCGGCGCCUAUGCUUCCUGCAUAAAACUGCAUUAAAGGUCAAGGGCAGUGAAAUCCCACAGUAUGACAAUCCCUGCGCUGGUCAUGACCCAAUAGGCAAUGGCAACACUUCCUGCACUUCAGCUGCUAUAUCAGCCCAUUGAGACCACUGGUAGUCUGUAUAAUUUAGAAUUGCCUUCAGGCUGCCCUUUUGCAGGAGGACUGAUUUGAUGCACAUUGGUCAAUGAUCAUGGGUGUAACCAGAGUGCCUUAAAGCACCACCCUUUCCAUGUUCACGUUUUAGCCACCACCAAGAUUCUAGGCCAUAUGUUUCACUGAGGACACACCCAGUGGCUAAAACCAGCUGUGCUUGAAACUUUUUUGUGGUCAGGGAAGGGGUUUAUGGAUUAUGCCAAUCUUUCUGUAUUUUGCUUCAAGUUUUUGCCAAUAAUCUGAGUUGUGUUUUGUGCACAGAUUAACCUGAUCCUCUGUAUUAUCUGAUUUACUUUUCUAUUAUGAACUCAUACUCUUACUUAUUACAGUAAUUGGUAUAUUGUAUAUAUCUGCCUUUCCCAAUGUUCAUUGUGUAUUUAUAAUACAAUGAAAUAAAUAACAAGAAAUUAUCUUCUAACCUCUACUUCCUGUUAUCUCCUGGCCUGCUGCCCAAAAGCUGUGUGAGGAAAAGGAUGAUAUUUGAAUGGGAGACUCUCUCUUUCCUCCAGCCAAUAGACCUGCUCUGGAAGCUUGUGAUCACACUAAUCAGUUUCUACAGCAAUCUGCAUUAUAAACUCAGCCUCUGCUGGGAAGUAACUUGGGAUAACAACAAAAAAGCUCCCAUGCUAAUAUGCAAACAGCAUUUUUAGCUUUAAAUAUCCCCCGCUAUCAAAUAUCUGAUGCGAGAACUUCAAACAAUCAUACAUUCCACUGUGCUAUGAGAAACUAGUUAACAGAUCUUCAUGAAACUUUGCAAAACAAAAUAUUGCUUUUCCAAAAAGGCCAUGUACAUGGUGAUUUUCACUUAAAAGGUGAAAUUUCAAAUUUUCAUUAAUUUGAUAUAUAAACUGAUCUAGGUUCACAUGAAAUUUCAAGAAAUGGCCCUUUAAAAGGUAAACCCCUAAAAUAUGUGUUGUUUUGUAAAGUCCCAUUUUCAAGCAAAAUCCCACAAUAUUCCAGAAGGUUUUUGCUGAAGCAUGACUUCUUAUGCAAUAUCAAAAUAAAACGUGAA